CCAAAUGGGCCAGUGCAAAUCCUACUUGGAUAACUGUGGUAAUUCCAGAGCUAAUACAUGCAACUGAUAUCCCGAAGGCGGUGUUUGUGCUUGCUUGUCUUGCGCUUGCGCUGCUCUGACGGAUGCUUUUAUUAGACCAAGCCGCUGAGGACUUGAGGGUUCGCGCUCUCUUGUUUGACUCGUGUGAUGGUGACUCUGGAUAACCAAAAUUUCUGACAAGCGCACGUACUUCUCUUCUGAGCGAGACGGCGCUGCCACUUUCGAGUGUCUGCCUUAUCAGCUAUCAACCGUUCGUUAUGCGCGACCGAUGGCUUUGACGGGUAACGGGGAAUCAGGGUUCGAUUCCGGAGAGGCAGCCUGAGAGACGGCUACCACGUCCAAGGACGGCAGCAGGCACGCAAAUUACCCAAUCCCAGCAAAUGGGGGAGGUAGUGACGAAAUCUAACGAUGCGGGCGCCCUUUCUGGGGCCCCGCAAUCGGAAUGGGCACUUUCUAAACAACCUGUUGAGAACCUACUGAAGG
Molecule: ribosomal RNA, 522 nt
Filed under: Brachyuropus grewingkii
Lineage: Eukaryota; Metazoa; Arthropoda; Malacostraca; Amphipoda; Acanthogammaridae
Description: bacterial SSU rRNA
Rfam family: Eukaryotic small subunit ribosomal RNA
Source: RNAcentral